UACGGGGGGGGCAAGCGUUGUUCGGAAUUACUGGGCGUAAAGGGCUCGUAGGCGGCCAACUAAGUCGGACGUGAAAUCCCUCGGCUUAACCGGGGAACUGCGUCCGAUACUGGAUGGCUUGAGUUCGGGAGAGGGAUGCGGAAUUCCAGGUGUAGCGGUGAAAUGCGUAGAGAUCAUGAGGAAGACCAGUGGCGAAGGCGGGUCUCUGGACAGUUCCUGACACUGAGACACGAAGGCCAGGGGAGCAAACGGG
Molecule: ribosomal RNA, 253 nt
Filed under: uncultured bacterium
Lineage: Bacteria
Description: partial 16S ribosomal RNA
Rfam family: Bacterial small subunit ribosomal RNA
Source: RNAcentral